This 847-nucleotide long non-coding RNA is filed under the name Vitis vinifera (wine grape). RNAcentral describes it as "long non-coding RNA (VVIN_LNC004108)". The record is from RNAcentral. Lineage: Eukaryota; Viridiplantae; Streptophyta; Magnoliopsida; Vitales; Vitaceae.
UCUACAGGCUAUUUUAUUUAAAUUUGCAACUGACUCCAAUACAAUUUCUAUCUAUGUUUUAAUACCAUUUUUUGGAAGGUCUAGAAGUUAUAAAACAGGAAUUAGAGUCCCAAUAUGCUACUACAUAAGUUGGGUUUCUUUAUUUAUAGUUUUAUUGAGUUAUUAGGUCUUCUAAAGUAUAUAAAUAAGGCAAUUAUUGUAAACAAAAGUAGAAUGACAAUUUGGCCGAGUUUGCAAACAUUAACGAUGAAAUUUCACUAUUUUCUACAAAUGAGUCUCCCAGAAGAAGGCUUUAAAGAGACUCUUCUUUCUUCUUCUUGAUGUUAAUCCUAUUUCCCAUUCCCCUCCCUCAUCCUAAAAUGAUGAAGCCACAAUCCACCAUUAUUUGAUUGGAAAUAGUUACCUUAGGGUUGUCCUGCAUAUAUACAAGACAAACAAAAAAGGGUACCAAGACUAAGCAAAUGAGAGACCAAAACACCUACUUUAAAAUUGUGACAAAAAUAUGAAAAGAUGGCCUUUUUUGUCCAUAAAAAAUGACUGCCUUGCUAAUCAAAUCCAAAUGUGAAAUAUAAAAUUAUGGUUAUGUUAUGUAUGUGUGUGUGUGUGUGUGUUAGCCCGGUAUACAUUAUGGGCUCAAAUCCUAACAAUUUUAACCUUUUUUGAAAGUCGGUAUCCUAAUAUGGUCCCCAUCUAUCUAUUUAUCAUUGCUACUGAUUUGUCUCCUCAUGAAUGAGAAUGGGGUCACACAUAAGAGAGGUUCUUAGCCUGAUAUACGCAGUGGGUCCAAAUCCUUACAACUUAAGAUUUUAGUAAAGUUGGUAACUUAAACUAAUGUCUUAGGUUGAAC